RNAcentral lists this ribosomal RNA (425 nucleotides) under uncultured bacterium. RNAcentral's name for it is "partial 16S ribosomal RNA". It matches the Rfam family "Bacterial small subunit ribosomal RNA", at positions 354 to 796 of the family's 1533-position model. The record is from RNAcentral.
GUGGGGAAUAUUGGACAAUGGGCGCAAGCCUGAUCCAGCCAUGCCGCGUGAGUGAUGAAGGCCCUAGGGUUGUAAAGCUCUUUCGCCAGGGACGAUAAUGACGGUACCUGGAUAAGAAGCCCCGGCUAACUUCGUGCCAGCAGCCGCGGUAAUACGAAGGGGGCUAGCGUUGUUCGGAAUCACUGGGCGUAAAGCGCACGUAGGCGGAUCUUUAAGUCAGGGGUGAAAUCCCGAGGCUCAACCUCGGAACUGCCUUUGAUACUGGGGAUCUCGAGUCCGGGAGAGGUGAGUGGAACUGCGAGUGUAGAGGUGAAAUUCGUAGAUAUUCGCAAGAACGCCAGUGGCGAAGGCGGCUCACUGGCCCGGUACUGACGCUGAGGUGCGAAAGCGUGGGGAGCAAACAGGAUUAGAAACCCGUGUAGUCC